Molecule: non-coding RNA, 786 nt
Organism: Chiloscyllium plagiosum (whitespotted bambooshark)
Lineage: Eukaryota; Metazoa; Chordata; Chondrichthyes; Orectolobiformes; Hemiscylliidae
Source: RefSeq, a predicted model, not a curated record
CAAAAAGGCGACCUUUUAGGGCAAAAAAAAAGGGUCAGACCUCACGUCAGCGCGCCCACAAAAGCAACCGUUCCCAAAAACAAAAACAUCCACUGGCGCCUCCCAGCAGCAGCUUCCAAUCGCAGCCAAUUCGAGUUAGACUGCGCUGCACCCCCGCCCCACCCACCCCACUGUGUGAAUCCAAGUGGUCACUCGAAGAAUGCAAGAUCUUUCCAAAGUCGGCCCUGCAGACUCCUGCUGGAAACCAGAAUCGCCGUGACAACCGAUGCCGGUCCCAGAUGACCACUGGACACCCCCAAUGGAGGUGCCUUUUGAGAUUAUGCAGGUAAUAAAGAGAGAGAUGGAGAAACUCCCUCCCUAUGGCCCAGGGAAUCAAGUGCAGAAGACCAAAGUUAUUCAACACCCACCAUUAAGCCACAACAGCAAAAUUAAAAGAAUCUAAAAAGCAGCCGCAUCCAUGCAACGCAGACAAGAUCUUUUAAGCAGCCAACAGUUUUCUUUACAGACUCCAAAUACAAGCCCCACUACCCCUGAGAAGGGGCACUGCAGUGAGCAGCUGGGAAGAGAAGAAGAAAAAAAAUCAAUACUGCAUUCGAAACAGAAAAGAAAAAAAAAAAGGUUUGUUCCCAGUUUGAAUACUUUCAUUUCUCAGUUAUGUACAAAACAGAAGUUGGCAUGGAAGUAAAUCAGCAAGCCACAAUUAGUCUAAUUUUGUUAUUCUUACAUGGGGUUUGGCUGAGGCAAUGCCAGAAUUUAUUGCCUGUCCCUAAACACCCAAGACCACGU